UUCGCAAUGCCCGAAAGGGUGACGAAGCGACGCCGCGUGGGUGAGGAAGGCCUUCGGGUUGUAAAGCCCUGUCAGGAGUUAUGGAAUGUAAGUGCGCUAAUAUCGUGCUUAUUUGACAAAGGCUCCAAAGGAAGCCACGGCUAACUCUGUGCCAGCAGCCGCGGUAAUACAGAGGUGGCGAGCGUUGUUCGGAAUUAUUGGGCGUAAAGAGCACGUAGGUGGGUUUGCAAGUCAGAUGUGAAAGCCUUCUGUUCAACGGAAGAAUUGCAUCUGAAACUGCUAAUCUUGAGUAUAGGAGGGGAGAAUGGAACUUCUGGUGGAGCGGUGAAAUGCGUAGAUAUCAGAAGGAACGCCGGCGGCGAAAGCGAUUCUCUGGCCUAUUACUGACACUCAGUGUGCGAAAGCUAGGGGAGCAAACGGGAUUAGAUACCCCGGUAGUCCUAGCCGUAAACGAUGGGCACUAAGUAGAGGGGUUUUA
RNAcentral lists this ribosomal RNA (478 nucleotides) under uncultured anaerobic ammonium-oxidizing bacterium. Its description in RNAcentral is "bacterial SSU rRNA". It matches the Rfam family "Bacterial small subunit ribosomal RNA", at positions 365 to 833 of the family's 1533-position model. The record is from RNAcentral.